Molecule: ribosomal RNA, 128 nt
Filed under: Apophysomyces elegans
Lineage: Eukaryota; Fungi; Mucoromycota; Mucoromycetes; Mucorales; Mucoraceae
Description: partial 28S ribosomal RNA
Source: RNAcentral
AAAAAAAAAUUUCUCGAUCUUGGCUAGGUUGUUUAUAGCCGAAAACUUUUUUUUUUGGCUAUAACCAAAACCAAUAUAAUCACAUUUAGUUAUCGAUCUGAAAUCAGGUGGGACUACCCGCUGAACUA